This 497-nucleotide ribosomal RNA is filed under the name uncultured bacterium. Its description in RNAcentral is "partial 16S ribosomal RNA". It matches the Rfam family "Bacterial small subunit ribosomal RNA", at positions 28 to 507 of the family's 1533-position model. The record is from RNAcentral.
GAUGAACGCUGGCGGCGUGCCUAAUACAUGCAAGUCGAGCGAACAGAUAAGGAGCUUGCUCCUUUGACGUUAGCGGCGGACGGGUGAGUAACACGUGGGUAACCUACCUAUAAGACUGGGAUAACUUCGGGAAACCGGAGCUAAUACCGGAUAACAUUUGGAACCGCAUGGUUCUAAAGUGAAAGAUGGUUUUGCUAUCACUUAUAGAUGGACCCGCGCCGUAUUAGCUAGUUGGUAAGGUAACGGCUUACCAAGGCGACGAUACGUAGCCGACCUGAGAGGGUGAUCGGCCACACUGGAACUGAGACACGGUCCAGACUCCUACGGGAGGCAGCAGUAGGGAAUCUUCCGCAAUAGGCGAAAGCCUGACGGAGCAACGCCGCGUGAGUGAUGAAGGGUUUCGGAUCGUAAAACUCUGUUAUUAGGGAAGAACAAAUGUGUAAGUAACUGUGCACGUCUUGACGGUACCUAAUCAGAAAGCCACGGCUAACUACGUG